This 249-nucleotide ribosomal RNA is filed under the name uncultured bacterium. RNAcentral's name for it is "partial 16S ribosomal RNA". It matches the Rfam family "Bacterial small subunit ribosomal RNA", at positions 107 to 354 of the family's 1533-position model. The record is from RNAcentral.
UGAGUAACACGUAUGCAACCUGCCUGCCACAGCCGGAUAAUCGGGAGAAAUUCCGUCUAAUACGGCAUAAUGCAUCGACGGGACAUCCUGUUGGUGCCAAAGGUUGAUUCCGGUGGCGGAUGGGCAUGCGUCGCAUUAGUUAGUUGGCGGUGUAACGGACCACCAGGACGACGAUGCGUAGGGGUUCUGAGAGGAAGGUCCCCCACACUGGUACUGAGACACGGACCAGACUCCUACGGGAGGCAGCAG